RNAcentral lists this ribosomal RNA (856 nucleotides) under Pedobacter steynii. RNAcentral's name for it is "bacterial SSU rRNA". It matches the Rfam family "Bacterial small subunit ribosomal RNA", at positions 607 to 1479 of the family's 1533-position model. Lineage: Bacteria; Pseudomonadati; Bacteroidota; Sphingobacteriia; Sphingobacteriales; Sphingobacteriaceae. The record is from RNAcentral.
GCUCAACCAUCGCAGUGCCCUUGAUACUGAUGAGCUUGAAUACACUAGAGGUAGGCGGAAUGUGACAAGUAGCGGUGAAAUGCAUAGAUAUGUCACAGAACACCGAUUGCGAAGGCAGCUUACUAUGGUGUCAUUGACGCUGAGGCACGAAAGCGUGGGGAUCAAACAGGAUUAGAUACCCUGGUAGUCCACGCCCUAAACGAUGAAUACUCGCUGUUAGCGAUACACAGUUAGCGGCUAAGCGAAAGCAUUAAGUAUUCCACCUGGGGAGUACGCCCGCAAGGGUGAAACUCAAAGGAAUUGACGGGGGCCCGCACAAGCGGAGGAGCAUGUGGUUUAAUUCGAUGAUACGCGAGGAACCUUACCCGGGCUUGAAAGUUAGUGAAUGAUCUAGAGAUAGAUCAGUGAGCAAUCACACGAAACUAGGUGCUGCAUGGCUGUCGUCAGCUCGUGCCGUGAGGUGUUGGGUUAAGUCCCGCAACGAGCGCAACCCCUAUGUUUAGUUGCCAGCACGUUAAGGUGGGGACUCUAAACAGACUGCCUGUGCAAACAGAGAGGAAGGAGGGGACGACGUCAAGUCAUCAUGGCCCUUACGUCCGGGGCUACACACGUGCUACAAUGGAUGGUACAGAGGGCAGCAAGCUGGCAACAGCAAGCAAAUCUCAAAAAGCCAUUCACAGUUCGGAUAGAGGUCUGCAACUCGACCUCUUGAAGUUGGAUUCGCUAGUAAUCGCGUAUCAACAAUGACGCGGUGAAUACGUUCCCGGGCCUUGUACACACCGCCCGUCAAGCCAUGGAAGUUGGGGGUACCUAAAGUAUGAACCGCAAGGAGCGUCCUAGGUAACCGAUGGCCUUU